This 775-nucleotide ribosomal RNA is filed under the name uncultured Neocallimastigales. RNAcentral describes it as "partial large subunit ribosomal RNA". It matches the Rfam family "Eukaryotic large subunit ribosomal RNA", at positions 24 to 616 of the family's 3401-position model. The record is from RNAcentral. Lineage: Eukaryota; Fungi; Neocallimastigomycota; Neocallimastigomycetes; Neocallimastigales.
GUAGUCUCGCACAGAUGCAUAUCAAUAAGCGGAGGAAAAGAAACUAACAAGGAUUCCCUAGUAACGGCGAGUGAAGCGGGAAGAGCUCAAAUUUGAAAUCUUCAAGGUUUUACCUUGACGAAUUGUAGUUUAAAGAAGUGUUUUCUGUUGAAGUUUUGGUAAAAGUUCUUUGGAAUAGGACAUCAUAGAGGGUGAGAAUCCCGUAUUUGACCAUUAUUUUCAGCUGUGUGAUACACUUUCAAAGAGUCGGAUUGUUUGGGAAUGCAGUCCAAAAUGGGUGGUAAAUUUCAUCUAAAGCUAAAUAUUGGCGAGAGACCGAUAGCGAACAAGUACCGUGAGGGAAAGAUGAAAAGAACUUUGAAAAGAGAGUUAAACAGUACGUGAAAUUGUCAAAAGGGAAGCGUUUGACACCAGUGUUGUUUUCUCGAAAAUCAAUUAAAAAGAGUUUAGAUUUUGUUGUGUAUUGACCUUAACAGCUUGCAUUUCAAUUUUCUUGCUUUUUUUAAUGCACUUUUUCGUUUAACAAGUCAACAUCAGUUUCUUUUGUUGUAAAAAGGUCAUUGGAAGGUGGCUUUCUUUUCGGAGAAAGUGUUUAUAGCCUUUGACUCCUGCAAUCGGAGAGACUGAGGUCUGCAGCGUAGAUCCUUCGGGGUUAGAUACAUUUGUGCUAAGUUAUAGCUUUUUAUAGACAACUUGUUGACUAUGAUUAGUCUUGUAGCUUACUCGCUUAUGCUAUCUUACCUACGCUUAGGAUGUUGAGCGCAUGUCUCUCUCU